GAUGAACGCUGGCGGCGUGCCUAAUACAUGCAAGUCGAGCGAACGGACGAGAAGCUUGCUUCUCUGAUGUUAGCGGCGGACGGGUGAGUAAAACGUGGAUAACCUACCUAUAAGACUGGGAUAACUUCGGGAAACCGGAGCUAAUACCGGAUGAUAUUUUGAACCGCAUGGUUCAAAAGUGAAAGACGGUCUUGCUGUCACUUAUAGAUGGAUCCGCGCUGCAUUAGCUAGGUGGUAAGGUAACGGCUUACCAAGGCAACGAUGGAUAGCCGACCUGAGGGGGUGAUCGGCCACCCUGGAACUGAGACACGGUCCCGACUCCUACGGGAGGCAGCGGUAGGGAAUCUUCCGCAAUGGGCGAAAGCCUGACGGUGCAACGCCGCGUGAGUGAUGAAGGUCUUCGGAUCGUAAAACUCUGUUAUUAGGGAAGAACAAAUGUGUAAGUAACUGUGCACAUCGUGACGGUACCUAAUCAGAAAGCCACGGCUAACUACGUG
This 497-nucleotide ribosomal RNA is filed under the name uncultured bacterium. Its description in RNAcentral is "partial 16S ribosomal RNA". It matches the Rfam family "Bacterial small subunit ribosomal RNA", at positions 28 to 507 of the family's 1533-position model. The record is from RNAcentral.